This 70-nucleotide transfer RNA is filed under the name Iphiteon panicea. Its description in RNAcentral is "tRNA-Ser". Lineage: Eukaryota; Metazoa; Porifera; Hexactinellida; Hexactinosida; Dactylocalycidae. The record is from RNAcentral.
GAAAAGAAAGCAUAGAUAAUGCAAUCGCCUUGAAAGCCCUAAGACAAGAAUACAACACACUUUCUUUUCG